AGAGUUUGAUCCUGGCUCAGAUUGAACGCUGGCGGUAUGCUUAACACAUGCAAGUCGAACGGAAACGAAACUAGCUUGCUAGUAGGCGUCGAGUGGCGGACGGGUGAGUAACGCGUAGGAAUCUGCCUGAUAGUGGGGGAUAGCCCGAAGAAAUUCGGAUUAAUACCGCAUAAUCUAUUCGUAGUAAAGUGGGGGACUUUCGAGCCUCACGCUAUCAGAUGAGCCUGCGUAAGAUUAGCUUGUUGGUAGGGUAAAAGCCUACCAAGGCAACGAUCUUUAGCUGGUCUGAGAGGAUGAUCAGCCACAUCGGGACUGAGACACGGCCCGAACUCCUACGGGAGGCAGCAGUGGGGAAUAUUGGACAAUGGGGGCAACCCUGAUCCAGCAAUACCGCGUGUGUGAAGAAGGCCUGAGGGUUGUAAAGCACUUUCAAUUGUGAAGAAAAGUUAACGGUUAAUAACCGUUGACCUUGACGUUAACUUUAGAAGAAGCACCGGCUAACUCCGUGCCAGCAGCCGCGGUAAUACGGAGGGUGCAAGCGUUAAUCGGAAUUACUGGGCGUAAAGCGUGCGUAGGCGGUUUAUUAAGUCAGAUGUGAAAGCCCCGGGCUUAACCUGGGAACUGCAUUUGAAACUGGUCAACUAGAGUAUGGUAGAGGAAAGUGGAAUUUCUGGUGUAGCGGUGAAAUGCGUAGAUAUCAGAAGGAACAUCAAUGGCGAAGGCAGCUUUCUGGACCAAUACUGACGCUGAGGUACGAAAGCGUGGGUAGCAAACAGGAUUAGAUACCCUGGUAGUCCACGCCGUAAACGAUGAUAACUAGCCGUUGGGGGGAUUUACCCCUUAGUGGCGAAGUUAACGCGUUAAGUUAUCCGCCUGGGGAGUACGGCCGCAAGGCUAAAACUCAAAGGAAUUGACGGGGACCCGCACAAGCGGUGGAGCAUGUGGUUUAAUUCGAUGCAACGCGAAGAACCCUACCUGGUCUUGACAUCCUGCGAACUUUCUAGAAAUAGAUUGGUGCCUUCGGGAACGCAGUGACAGGUGCUGCAUGGCUGUCGUCAGCUCGUGUCGUGAGAUGUUGGGUUAAGUCCCGUAACGAGCGCAACCCCUAUCCUUAUUUGCCAGCACAUUAUGGUGGGAACUAUAAGGAGACUGCCGGUGAUAAACCGGAGGAAGGCGGGGACGACGUCAAGUCAUCAUGGCCCUUACGACCAGGGCUACACACGUGCUACAAUGGGAAGGACAAAGAGCCGCGAAGCCGCGAGGUGUAGCUAAUCUCAUAAAUCUUUUCGUAGUCCGGAUUGGAGUCUGCAACUCGACUCCAUGAAGUCGGAAUCGCUAGUAAUCGUAGAUCAGAAUGCUACGGUGAAUACGUUCCCGGGUCUUGUACGCACCGCCCGUCAUACCAUGGGAGUGGGUUGCACCAGAAGUGGCUAGUCUAACUUUGUGAGGACGGUCACCACGGUGUGAUUCAUGANCUGGGGUAAAGUCGUAACAAGGUAACC
This 1502-nucleotide ribosomal RNA is filed under the name uncultured bacterium. RNAcentral's name for it is "bacterial SSU rRNA". It matches the Rfam family "Bacterial small subunit ribosomal RNA". The record is from RNAcentral.